This 777-nucleotide small RNA is filed under the name Rattus norvegicus (Norway rat). RNAcentral describes it as "uncharacterized LOC103691977". The record is from RNAcentral. Lineage: Eukaryota; Metazoa; Chordata; Mammalia; Rodentia; Muridae.
CCCCUGCCAGAGCUCCAGCGCGGGGCCGGAGACCCCCUCUCUGGGUGGCAGAUAUGCGGCUGGCGCCGGCUGCUUGCAAGUGGAGGAUUGAAAAAUGGGCUCGGAUCACCAGUGAUCUCACAACAUGGUCCAGUAUCGCUGCAAGGGAGAAGAAAAACGUGGCAACAUGUCUAAAUAGUCGUUACGCACGUCAGCAAGGAAAGACUUACCCAGCACACUUCAGGCAUGUGGACAGGGUCUGAGUCAACUGUGGCCUACUGCAUCACUUCCUGGUUCCUCCCUAUGAAAGAUGCCAUUCUGUUACCGGCACUGUUGGGCCACCCAACGAGGCCAAGCAAUCCGGCUUAAAAGUGCCCGGCUUAUCUACACGAGGUUCACUCUGUAUCUUAUCAAGAGAUAAACUCACUUUAGCUACAUCUUCAGUCUGCAACAUUAAGUCCCAGAAGGUGGGAGACCGGUGAAGAAAGGCCCUGGUGAUAAAAUGCCAAUUCAGGCCACCGGAGGAGGACUGGCCUGUGGGCUCCAUUUGGGGCGUCCAUCCAGAAAGCAUCUUCAUUCCCCAGUAGUGUUCAUGGGGCAGGCUGCCUGCUGAGGACACAGCAAGUAACAGGACCCUGCCUGGCCUUUGAGGAGCCUGACAACCAGACACGGGACAGGCUGGCAAUAGGAAAACCCUCAUAACCAUGGUGACAGUUAUGAGUGACAUUUAUGAAGCACCUGGCGACAAGUAGCGUUUCCAUUGCUUUAGCAUAAAAAUAAAAUCAGCUUUAGAGAGAA